RNAcentral lists this ribosomal RNA (497 nucleotides) under uncultured bacterium. Its description in RNAcentral is "partial 16S ribosomal RNA". It matches the Rfam family "Bacterial small subunit ribosomal RNA", at positions 28 to 507 of the family's 1533-position model. The record is from RNAcentral.
GAUGAACGCUGGCGGCGUGCCUAAUACAUGCAAGUCGAGCGAACGGACGAGAAGCUUGCUUUUCUGAUGUUAGCGGCGGACGGGUGAGUAACACGUGGAUAACCUACCUAUAAGACUGGGAUAACUUCGGGAAACCGGAGCUAAUACCGGAUAAUAUUUUGAACCGCAUGGUUCAAAAGUGAAAGACGGUCUUGCUGUCACUUAUAGAUGGAUCCGCGCUGCAUUAGCUAGUUGGUAAGGUAACGGCUUACCAAGGCAACGAUGCAUAGCCGACCUGAGAGGGUGAUCGGCCACACUGGAACUGAGACACGGUCCAGACUCCUACGGGAGGCAGCAGUAGGGAAUCUUCCGCAAUGGGCGAAAGCCUGACGGAGCAACGCCGCGUGAGUGAUGAAGGUCUUCGGAUCGUAAAACUCUGUUAUUAGGGAAGAACAUAUGUGUAAGUAACUGUGCACAGCUUGACGGUACCGAAUCAGAAAGCCACGGCUAACUACGUG